Molecule: transfer RNA, 66 nt
Filed under: Branchiostoma lanceolatum (amphioxus)
Lineage: Eukaryota; Metazoa; Chordata; Leptocardii; Amphioxiformes; Branchiostomatidae
Rfam family: tRNA
About the family: Transfer RNA (tRNA) molecules are approximately 80 nucleotides in length. Their secondary structure includes four short double-helical elements and three loops (D, anti-codon, and T loops).
Source: Rfam by way of RNAcentral
CAUUGGAUAGCUUAAAGCAAAGCGUUAACCUUUUAAGUUAAUGAUAAGUACCAGACUUUUCAGUGA